AUUUGAUUGAUUCUUAUAUCAUUGUCAUCAUCCUCAUGCUUAUAUUGUGUUGAAAGUCAUCUUUGGUCGUAGUGCAUAGAUGGACUUGGUAUGAUUAUGACCAGAGAUUAUUCGGUAUAAUCAUGACCGUAAUGUUACAAAUGAUGUGAAAAAAGUCCUCAUUGGCCCGUAGUGCAUUGAUGGACAGUUUUUGGUAUGAUUAUG
RNAcentral lists this long non-coding RNA (204 nucleotides) under Panax ginseng (ginseng). Its description in RNAcentral is "long non-coding RNA (PGIN_LNC018927)". Lineage: Eukaryota; Viridiplantae; Streptophyta; Magnoliopsida; Apiales; Araliaceae. The record is from RNAcentral.